UUGGUUAAGUUAGAAAGGGCGCACGGUGGAUGCCUUGGCACUAGGAGCCGAAGAAGGACGGGACUAACACCGAUAUGCUUUGGGGAGCUGUACGUAAGCGUUGAUCCAGAGAUUUCCGAAUGGGGGAACCCACUAUCUUUAGUCGGAUAGUAUCCUUACGUGAAUACAUAGCGUGAGGAAGGCAGACCCAGGGAACUGAAACAUCUAAGUACCUGGAGGAAGAGAAAGAAAAAUCGAUUUCCUGAGUAGCGGCGAGCGAAACGGAAAGAGCCCAAACCAAGAAGCUUGCUUCUUGGGGUUGUAGGACACUCUAUACGGAGUUACAAAAGAAAGUUAUAAAUGAAGCGGUCUGGAAAGGCCCGCCAAAGACGGUAACAGCCCGGUAGUUGAAAUGGCUUUCCCUCCAGAGUGGAUCCUGAGUACGGCGGAACACGUGAAAUUCCGUCGGAAUCCGGGAGGACCAUCUCCCAAGGCUAAAUACUCCCUAGUGACCGAUAGUGAACCAGUACCGUGAGGGAAAGGUGAAAAGCACCCCGGAAGGGGAGUGAAACAGUUCCUGAAACCGUGUGCCUACAAGUAGUUAGAGCCCGUUAAUGGGUGAUAGCGUGCCUUUUGUAGAAUGAACCGGCGAGUUACGAUUUGUUGCAAGGUUAAGCGGAAAAAGCGGAGCCGUAGCGAAAGCGAGUCUGAAUAGGGCGCAUAAGUAACAGGUCGUAGACCCGAAACCAGGUGAUCUACCCAU
RNAcentral lists this ribosomal RNA (742 nucleotides) under Listeria monocytogenes. RNAcentral's name for it is "partial 23S ribosomal RNA". It matches the Rfam family "Bacterial large subunit ribosomal RNA", at positions 1 to 737 of the family's 2925-position model. Lineage: Bacteria; Bacillati; Bacillota; Bacilli; Caryophanales; Listeriaceae. The record is from RNAcentral.